This 69-nucleotide transfer RNA is filed under the name Perodicticus potto (potto). Its description in RNAcentral is "tRNA-Val". It matches the Rfam family "tRNA". Rfam says of the family: Transfer RNA (tRNA) molecules are approximately 80 nucleotides in length. Their secondary structure includes four short double-helical elements and three loops (D, anti-codon, and T loops). Lineage: Eukaryota; Metazoa; Chordata; Mammalia; Primates; Lorisidae. The record is from RNAcentral.
CAAAGUGUAGCUUAAUUAUUAAAGCACCCGGCUUACACCCGGAAGAUUUCUAACACAUGACCACUUUGA